CCUACGGGAGACAGCAGUGGGGAAUAUUGCACAAUGGGGGAAACCCUGAUGCAGCGACGCCGCGUGAGUGAAGAAGUAUUUCGGUAUGUAAAGCUCUAUCAGCAGGGAAGAAAAUGACGGUACCUGAUUAAGAAGCCCCGGCUAACUACGUGCCAGCAGCCGCGGUCAUACGUAGGGGGCAAGCGUUAUCCGGAUUUACUGGGUGUAAAGGGAGCGUAGACGGGAGCACAAGUCUGGAGUGAAAUGCCGGGGCUUAACCCCGGAACUGCUUUGGAAACUGUGCAGCUAGAGUGCAGGAGAGGUAAGUGGAAUUCCUGGUGUAGCGGUGAAAUGCGUAGAUAUAAGGAGGAACACCAGUGGCGAAGGCGGCUUACUGGACUGUAACUGACGUUGAGGCUCGAAAGCGUGGGGAGCAAACAGGAUUAGAUACCCGGGUAGUC
Molecule: ribosomal RNA, 440 nt
Filed under: uncultured bacterium
Lineage: Bacteria
Description: partial 16S ribosomal RNA
Rfam family: Bacterial small subunit ribosomal RNA
Source: RNAcentral